Long non-coding RNA from Thalassophryne amazonica, 231 nucleotides. RefSeq lists it as uncharacterized. The transcript has 2 exons. NCBI's taxonomy places the organism in Eukaryota, Metazoa, Chordata, Actinopteri, Batrachoidiformes, Batrachoididae. The record is from RefSeq and is a predicted model, not a curated record.
AAACAUUUGAGUCAGAACAUAGGAAUUAAUCAAAGGGGUGUUGCUUAACUAUAAUUUACAAUGAUUUCCAAUAGAUAGAUGGAUGUGUGGCCUAUAAACCUCUUUCUAAGUGAAUACCUACCUCACCCUAAAGGGAUUGUGAUCAAGUUUUCUUGCAAGUUAUCAAGUAUUUGCAAUCCUGUGAAACAUGUUGAGGUGCCUAUUCACUAAGAAAUAGGUUUCAAAUGGGAA